This 296-nucleotide ribosomal RNA is filed under the name uncultured bacterium. Its description in RNAcentral is "partial 16S ribosomal RNA". It matches the Rfam family "Bacterial small subunit ribosomal RNA", at positions 775 to 1067 of the family's 1533-position model. The record is from RNAcentral.
GGAUUAGAUACCCUGGUAGUCCACGCCGUAAACGAUGAGAGCUAGUCGUCAGGGGGCAUGCCCUUUGGUGACGCAGUUAACGCAUUAAGCUCUCCGCCUGGGGAGUACGGCCGCAAGGUUAAAACUCAAAGGAAUUGACGGGGGCCCGCACAAGCAGUGGAGCAUGUGGUUUAAUUCGAAGCAACGCGCAGAACCUUACCACCCCUUGACAUCGCCAUCGCGGUCUCCGGAGACGGAGUCCUUCAGUUCGGCUGGAUGGAUGACAGGUGCUGCAUGGCUGUCGUCAGCUCGUGCUG